Molecule: long non-coding RNA, 487 nt
Filed under: Cricetulus griseus (Chinese hamster)
Lineage: Eukaryota; Metazoa; Chordata; Mammalia; Rodentia; Cricetidae
Description: lncRNA (ENSCGRG00015039533.1)
Source: RNAcentral
CCCCAAAGCCGUCAUAAAGAAGACAGACUCUAAUGGAAUGAAUGCCCUCCUCAAGGGCCUGGCUGCCCACAGUGAGGAGGAUGCAUGGAAGCAUUCACACACAGCCUCACAGGGUCUGUGUCACUGGUUCAUGGCCAUUGUCAUUAAUUGGCGGCUAUAAUUCAAUGUGAGCUGUGACCACAAAACUACAAUACCAAGAGGCAAAGAUCACUGGGACCCAUCCUGAAGACAGCUGACCACAUCUCUGCCCCUUACGCGCACUAAUCUUCAUGUCUGAAUCUUCUCUAUGGAGAACGAGGAGGGGAAGGAAGGAUUUGACGACCGGCUGGAGACCAUGAAGACGGAUCAGCAAAGCAACCCAGGGUGCCCUGAAACAGUUAGAGCGCCCCCUCCUCCCCUUCCUUACUCCCCAAACACUGCCUCUGCGGAACGACCUAGCGGAAAUUGCAGGGCACGACUCCACUCUAAGCCUGGCGCUGCCAACUGG